UACGGGGGGGGCAAGCGUUGUUCGGAAUUACUGGGCGUAAAGGGCGCGUAGGCGGCUUUUCAAGUCGGGCGUGAAAGCUCCGGGCUUAACCCGGAAAUGUCGCUCGAUACUGUUGAGCUAGAGUGUGGAAGAGGCUACUGGAAUUCCGUGUGUAGCGGUGAAAUGCGUAGAUAUACGGAGGAACACCAGUGGCGAAGGCGACUACCUGGCCUGUUCUUGACGCUGAGGCGCGAAAGCUAGGGGAGCAAACGGG
This 253-nucleotide ribosomal RNA is filed under the name uncultured bacterium. RNAcentral describes it as "partial 16S ribosomal RNA". It matches the Rfam family "Bacterial small subunit ribosomal RNA", at positions 524 to 776 of the family's 1533-position model. The record is from RNAcentral.